UGGGGAAUAUUGGACAAUGGGCGCAAGCCUGAUCCAGCCAUGCCGCGUGAAUGAUGAAGGCCUUAGGGUUGUAAAAUUCUUUCGCCAGGGAUGAUAAUGACAGUACCUGGUAAAGAAGCCCCGGCUAACUUCGUGCCAGCAGCCGCGGUAAUACGAAGGGGGCUAGCGUUGUUCGGAAUUACUGGGCGUAAAGCGCGCGUAGGCGGACUUUUAAGUCAGAUGUGAAAUCCCGAGGCUCAACCUCGGAACUGCAUUUGAAACUGGGAGUCUAGAGUUCAGGAGAGGUUAGCGGAAUACCGAGUGUAGAGGUGAAAUUCGUAGAUAUUCGGUGGAACACCAGUGGCGAAGGCGGCUAACUGGACUGAUACUGACGCUGAGGUGCGAAAGUGUGGGGAGCAAACAGGAUUAGAUACCCCCGUAGUCC
This 424-nucleotide ribosomal RNA is filed under the name uncultured prokaryote. RNAcentral describes it as "bacterial SSU rRNA". It matches the Rfam family "Bacterial small subunit ribosomal RNA", at positions 355 to 796 of the family's 1533-position model. The record is from RNAcentral.